This 775-nucleotide long non-coding RNA is filed under the name Mustela putorius furo (domestic ferret). RNAcentral describes it as "lncRNA (ENSMPUG00000026087.1)". Lineage: Eukaryota; Metazoa; Chordata; Mammalia; Carnivora; Mustelidae. The record is from RNAcentral.
GAAAGAAUUGCAAGAAAUUCCAGAAUGUUGGGGGAACAUUCUAUGCCUUGGUUUACAACCAGUUACCCAACAAAGAGACAUGGGGCAUCAUGCCAUAGCUCCGUUCUCCUAGUGAUGCCACACAACAGACGUAGAUAAAAGCAAAAGCACAAGGUUUAUCUCAGGCUAUUAUUAAUCAAGCACUAUGUGAUCAAUUUUACACGUUGAAAAAAAAUGUGGGAAAAUGGAAGCUGGUAGGGUGAACCGGGAGAAAUGAAAGAGACUUGGAAGUAUUAAAGGAUGCAGGAAACAAGUAAAGAAGAAAGUUAACAGAAUAAGGAGACAGCAUUCUUGUACAAUUGUCUUCCAGCGGCAACAAAUGCCAGCAGAGGUGGGAUAAUGUGGAAGACACCAGGACAAACAAAAGAACAAGAAUGAGAUUUCGACAGCUGGCCAGAGAUGUGACUCAGGACCCCAGAGCUUGAUCAACAGAGCAAACUGAAAGAGCAGAGACACAGACCAGACUUCAAACCUUGCAUCAGCCCCACCAGGAGAUCCGCACCUGUGAGGCCUAGCCCGAGCCAUGGGCCGAAAUUUUUGAUGGAGCCAGUUGGACAACUGAGAGCCACGAGGAUCCCAUCAACUCAAACAUUCCGCUGUGGUGACGUUAUUACCCACCAGGUAAUAGGAUAUAAAGGCUAAAAGUCAAAGACAAGGGAGCAACUAAUCUGCGCUCUCUCCAAGGCAAUGACUCGAAUAAAAUGGAAAAGAACCUGAUCUGUAAGGCAAAUAAAUA